Molecule: ribosomal RNA, 500 nt
Filed under: Enterobacteriaceae bacterium EKM402G
Lineage: Bacteria; Pseudomonadati; Pseudomonadota; Gammaproteobacteria; Enterobacterales; Enterobacteriaceae
Description: bacterial SSU rRNA
Rfam family: Bacterial small subunit ribosomal RNA
Source: RNAcentral
GGAACUUGCCAGAGAUGGCUUGGUGCCUUCGGGAACCNUGAGACAGGUGCUGCAUGGCUGUCGUCAGCUCGUGUUGUGAAAUGUUGGGUUAAGUCCCGCAACGAGCGCAACCCUUAUCCUUUGUUGCCAGCGGUCCGGCCGGGAACUCAAAGGAGACUGCCAGUGAUAAACUGGAGGAAGGUGGGGAUGACGUCAAGUCAUCAUGGCCCUUACGAGUAGGGCUACACACGUGCUACAAUGGCGCAUACAAAGAGAAGCGAACUCGCGAGAGCAAGCGGACCUCAUAAAGUGCGUCGUAGUCCGGAUCGGAGUCUGCAACUCGACUCCGUGAAGUCGGAAUCGCUAGUAAUCGUGGAUCAGAAUGCCACGGUGAAUACGUUCCCGGGCCUUGUACACACCGCCCGUCACACCAUGGGAGUGGGUUGCAAAAGAAGUAGGUAGCUUAACCUUCGGGAGGGCGCUUACCACUUUGUGAUUCAUGACUGGGGUGAAGUCGUAAC